This 447-nucleotide ribosomal RNA is filed under the name uncultured bacterium. RNAcentral describes it as "partial 16S ribosomal RNA". It matches the Rfam family "Bacterial small subunit ribosomal RNA", at positions 29 to 523 of the family's 1533-position model. The record is from RNAcentral.
AACGAACGCUGGCGGCAGGCUUAACACAUGCAAGUCGAACGCCCCGCAAGGGGAGUGGCAGACGGGUGAGUAACGCGUGGGAAUCUACCCAUCCCUACGGAACAACUCCGGGAAACUGGAGCUAAUACCGUAUACGCCCUUAGGGGGAAAGAUUUAUCGGGGAUGGAUGAGCCCGCGUUGGAUUAGCUAGUUGGUGGGGUAAAGGCCUACCAAGGCGACGAUCCAUAGCUGGUCUGAGAGGAUGAUCAGCCACAUUGGGACUGAGACACGGCCCAAACUCCUACGGGAGGCAGCAGUGGGGAAUAUUGGACAAUGGGCGCAAGCCUGAUCCAGCCAUGCCGCGUGAGUGAUGAAGGCCUUAGGGUUGUAAAGCUCUUUCACCGAUGAAGAUAAUGACGGUAUCCGGAGAAGAAGCCCCGGCUAACUUCGUGCCAGCCGCCGCCGUAA